This 483-nucleotide long non-coding RNA is filed under the name Mustela putorius furo (domestic ferret). RNAcentral describes it as "lncRNA (ENSMPUG00000030637.1)". Lineage: Eukaryota; Metazoa; Chordata; Mammalia; Carnivora; Mustelidae. The record is from RNAcentral.
CUGGAAGUCCCGUAAGGAUCACAGCAAACAGAAUUAGAACAGCCUAGCUUCACAAUUCCAAUCUUCUGGAUUUGUAUCUUUAUCAGGAAGUAGAUCAUUUUAAUUUACUGCUCAGAAGAGACAGCUAAGAAGCAGAGGUAGAAGCACUAUUUUCCUGUUUGGAGAGCCACCACAGCACCAUCCAUGCUGCUGUAGGAAGGAAUUACUCUCAGACCUCCUCUGAUGCCGGCACCACAGGUGGCUAUGCUACCCCGGGAAGGGCCCAGGCUUCUGAGGCUGCUGCUUUGGGUAGGACUGCUGACUCGGCUAUGUCCUGGCUACACUCGCACAAAUGCCUCACACAGUUAAUACCCCCUACGGUGAUGACUAAGAAGACGGUCCAGGCCUUUUCCACAUAAACUAUGGCUAAUCGUAUUUGCUUCUCCUCACCAUGCUGUAAUUGAUAUUUUGCACCUAUGUAUGCAAAUAUCCACGUAACAUUAU